UCUCACCCAACUCUAUACUAUCAUUCACCUUUAUUCGAAUGCAAGGAACAGGUUUUUAAACUAAACACUUUGUUUUGUUUAACCAGAAGCCCCCAUGCUAUAUUAUAAUUUUUUAAUUAAAAUACCGUCUGGGACCUAUUCAGACUCCCUACCCACACCCCCUUGGCUUUUUUUUUUUUUUCCCAUGGGAAGAUGGAUCGUCAGGGAAAUUCCAACUGUCUUUAUGACAUAAGAGGAAAAAAAUCAUAAAUUUAAAACCACAACGUUCAUGUUCACACCCAUGUGCAUUCUCUCUUCCGUAUGAAUUUCACUUCUUUCUGAGUCAGAGGCCGUGAUGUGCAAACACUUAAUGCCUGGCUCUCCAGGGGAACAAGCCCUGAUGUGUCCCAUUUGCCAAUUUCCAUGGUGUAAAGACUUCCACCAUGGUCGGAUUACAACCACCAACCUGAGGUCACUAAACCGGGAGUUUGGAAGAGAAGCCGGCGAUCAGCUCUCAGAAGCCAGUGCCAGCUUGCUCCAGCUCACCCCUGAGAAGGACUCCAAAACUGGUGCUCCAUUUUCUCAGUCGGUGUCUGCCUCCGGGACUAUACGUUCUUCAAACAACUGGGCUACUAGCUCCUUUGCAAACUGGACCAAAAUCUUCAAAGGAAAGAGAAAGGAAGAUUAUCUACUUACCAAAGCAGUCACUGGGGAAAGUGGGGUAUCUCACAUCUCUUCCAUCUCAAGGCCUGCUCAUCCCAACUUCUGGUUGUACUUCCUCUAUGGAAAGAUAAAGCAAUACUCUCUGAACCAUCUGUGUUCCCCUCAGGGAUGGUGGUCUUCAAAGAUGGCAACCGAAGAAGGUCGGGGAUGGCCACUGUUGCCAGGCCUCAAGCCCAUAACCGGAAGUGGAUUUGUUCUCCAUGGGCACCUCCUUUUUUCUAGCCCUCCCCACUCAUUGCUGAAUGACACGGAGCCAAGGCUCAAGGACCAGCCAGCCAAUGCGAAGCCGGAGGGGAGAGGAUGCAAACACCGUGGAAGCCUCUCCUGCCUCUGAGUUGUUGAUGGUUUUCUCUCCCCACCUAAUCACAAACUUUGAUUACCCUGGAGCUCAUCCCUGUAAUCCCAGCACUUUGGGAGGCCGAGGUACCCGGAUCACUUGAGGUCAGAAGCUCGAGACCAUCCUGGCCAACAUGGUGAAACCCUGUCUCUACUAAAAAUACAAAAAAUUAGCUGGGCAUGGUGGCACACGCCUGUAGUCUCAGCUGCUGGGGGUGCUGAGGCAGGAGAAUUGCUUGAACCUGGAAGGCAGAGGUUGCAGUGAGCCAAGGUUUGCACCAUUGCACUUCAGCCUGGAUGACAGACCGAGACUCCAUCUCAAAAAAAAAAAAAAAAUUUAUCUUGAAGAAUUCAUGUGAUGAUGAACUUAAAUGAAUAGAAUGAAUAAAUGAAUAGAACACUUUUCCUGUGUCUGGCCAUGCUCUAAGUGCGUUAUUUGUCUUAACCCAUUGGGUCCUCACAGAACCCUAAAAGGCAGGUCCCCGUGUGACAGGUGGGAAGCAGAAACUCAGAGGGUUUUGUUAACUAGUCUAGAGCCCCAGGAUUGAACCUGGCCAGUGGGACGCAGCACCUGCCCUGCAUUUCUGAGUGGGCUUGAUGGGAUAGAUGAAGUCCCCACUGCACCCGCCAUGCCCUCCUCAACACUGCUGGAGCCCCC
This 1696-nucleotide long non-coding RNA is filed under the name Aotus nancymaae (Ma's night monkey). Its description in RNAcentral is "lncRNA (ENSANAG00000039324.1)". Lineage: Eukaryota; Metazoa; Chordata; Mammalia; Primates; Aotidae. The record is from RNAcentral.